AUUGAACGCUGGCGGCAUGCCUUACACAUGCAAGUCGAACGGCAACAGGUCUUCGGAUGCUGACGAGUGGCGAACGGGUGAGUAACACAUCGGAACGUGCCUAGUAGUGGGGGAUAACUACUCGAAAGAGUGGCUAAUACCGCAUGAGAUCUACGGAUGAAAGCAGGGGAUCGCAAGACCUUGUGCUACUAGAGCGGCCGAUGGCAGAUUAGGUAGUUGGUGGGAUAAAAGCUUACCAAGCCGACGAUCUGUAGCUGGUCUGAGAGGACGAUCAGCCACACUGGGAAUGAGACACGGCCCAGACUCCUACGGGAGGCAGCAGUGGGGAAUUUUGGACAAUGGGCGAAAGCCUGAUCCAGCAAUGCCGCGUGCAGGAUGAAGGCCUUCGGGUUGUAGACUGCUUUUGUACGGAACGAAAAGCCCCGGGUUAAUACCCUGGGGUCAUGACGGUACCGUAAGAAUAAGCACCGGCUAACUACGUGCCAGCCGCCGCAGUAA
Molecule: ribosomal RNA, 498 nt
Filed under: uncultured bacterium
Lineage: Bacteria
Description: partial 16S ribosomal RNA
Rfam family: Bacterial small subunit ribosomal RNA
Source: RNAcentral